UGCCGGUAUGAGUAGCGAAAGACAGGUGAGAAUCCUGUCCGCCGAAAGACUAAGGUUUCCUGGGGCAGGCUCGUCCGCCCAGGGUAAGUCGGGACCUAAGGCAAGGCCGAGAGGCGUAGUCGAUGGAUAACAGGUAGAAAUUCCUGUACUGUGUUUAAUCGUUAUGAGCGAUGGAGGGACGCAGGAGGUGAAACACGCAUCGAGCUGGAUCGAUGUUCAAGCAACAAGUGCGGUUAAGAGUCAAAUGCUUCUAACCAGCAACACGAGUUGUGAUGAGUAGCGAAGUAAUAGUAGCGAAGGUGAUGUAAUCACACUGCCAAGAAAAGCUUCUAGCCAGAGAGGACACACCCGUACCGCAAACCGACACAGGUAGUCGAGUGGAGAACACUAAGGUGAGCGAGAGAACUCUCGUUAAGGAACUCGGCAAAAUGACCCCGUAACUUCGGAAGAAGGGGUGCUGGCCACGAGAGUGGUUAGCCGCAGUGAAUAGGCCCAAACAACUGUUUAUCAAAAACACAGGUCUCUGCAAAAUCGUAAGAUGACGUAUAGAGGCUGACACCUGCCCGGUGCUGGAAGGUUAAGAGGAGAGCUUAGCGAAAGCGAAGGUUCGAAUUGAAGCCCCAGUAAACGGCGGCCGUAACUAUAACGGUCCUAAGGUAGCGAAAUUCCUUGUCGGGUAAGUUCCGACCUGCACGAAAGGUGUAAUGAUUUGGGCACUGUCUCAACGAGAGACUCGGUGAAAUUAUAAUACCCGUGAAGAUGCGGGUUACCCGCGACAGGACGGAAAGACCCCAUGGAGCUUCACUGUAGCUUGAUAUUGAGUAUCUUUUAAACAUGUACAGGAUAGGUAGGAGCCAAGGAAGGCAGGACGCUAGUUUUGCUGGAGGCAAUGUUGGGAUACUACCCUUGUUUGAAGGAUGCUCUAACCUCGACCUGUAAGCCAGGUCAGGGACAGUGUCAGGUGGGCAGUUUGACUGGGGCGGUCGCCUCCUAAAGUGUAACGGAGGCGCUCAAAGGUUCCCUCAGAAUGGUUGGAAAUCAUUCGCAGAGUGUAAAGGUAUAAGGGAGCUUGACUGCGAGAGAAACAGCUCGAGCAGGGACGAAAGUCGGACUUAGUGAUCUGGUGGUACCGUAUGGAAGGGCCAUCACUCAACGGAUAAAAGCUACCCUGGGGAUAACAGGCUUAUCUCCCCCAAGAGUUCACAUCGACGGGGAGGUUUGGCACCUCGAUGUCGGCUCGUCGCAUCCUGGGGCUGAAGUCGGUCCCAAGGGUUGGGCUGUUCGCCCAUUAAAGCGGCACGCGAGCUGGGUUCAGAACGUCGUGAGACAGUUCGGUCCCUAUCCGUCGUGGGCGUAGGAAAUUUGAGAGGAGCUGUCCUUAGUACGAGAGGACCGGGAUGGACGCACCGCUGGUGUACCAGUUGUUCCGCCAGGAGCAUCGCUGGGUAGCUAUGUGCGGAAGGGAUAAGCGCUGAAAGCAUCUAAGUGCGAAGCCCCCCUCAAGAUGAGAUUUCCUUUGCAAUAGCAGUAAGACACCUCAAAGACGAUGAGGUAGAUAGGCUGGGAGUGGAAGUUCUGUGAAGAAUGGAGCGGACCAGUACUAAUCAGUCGAGGACUUGACCAA
This 1624-nucleotide ribosomal RNA is filed under the name Lactobacillus acidophilus. RNAcentral describes it as "partial 23S ribosomal RNA". It matches the Rfam family "Bacterial large subunit ribosomal RNA", at positions 1295 to 2925 of the family's 2925-position model. Lineage: Bacteria; Bacillati; Bacillota; Bacilli; Lactobacillales; Lactobacillaceae. The record is from RNAcentral.